GGAGUCGGCCAGACGAUCGCUGCUGCGGCAACGCAGGGGAGGAAAGUCCGGGCUCCGCAGGGCAGAGUGCCAGGUAACGCCUGGGCGCCGCGAGGCGACGGAAAGUGCAACAGAGAGCAAACCGCCGAUGGCUCCGCAAGGAGAUCAGGCAAGGGUGAAACGGUGCGGUAAGAGCGCACCGCGAGUCUGGCAACAGACCGGCACGGCAAACCCCACUCGGAGCAAGACCAAAUAGGGAAGGGCGCAGAUUCAUUUCUGCACUGCGCGGCCCGCGCAGCCUUCCGGGUAGGUUGCUUGAGGCCUGUGGCGACGCAGGUCCUAGAGGAAUGAUCGUUCUCGACAGAACCCGGCUUACCGGCCGACUCCCACC
This 370-nucleotide RNase P RNA is filed under the name Polycyclovorans sp. RNAcentral describes it as "RNase P RNA component class A". It matches the Rfam family "Bacterial RNase P class A". From Rfam's summary of the family: Ribonuclease P (RNase P) is a ubiquitous endoribonuclease, found in archaea, bacteria and eukarya as well as chloroplasts and mitochondria. Its best characterised activity is the generation of mature 5'-ends of tRNAs by cleaving the 5'-leader elements of precursor-tRNAs. Lineage: Bacteria; Pseudomonadati; Pseudomonadota; Gammaproteobacteria; Nevskiales; Nevskiaceae. The record is from RNAcentral.